This 84-nucleotide transfer RNA is filed under the name Bacillota bacterium. Its description in RNAcentral is "Firmicutes bacterium (gut metagenome) tRNA-Leu". It matches the Rfam family "tRNA". Rfam says of the family: Transfer RNA (tRNA) molecules are approximately 80 nucleotides in length. Their secondary structure includes four short double-helical elements and three loops (D, anti-codon, and T loops). Further hydrogen bonds mediate the characteristic L-shaped molecular structure. tRNAs have two regions of fundamental functional importance: the anti-codon, which is responsible for specific mRNA codon recognition, and the 3' end, to which the tRNAs corresponding amino acid is attached (by aminoacyl-tRNA synthetases). tRNAs cope with the degeneracy of the genetic code in two manners: having more than one tRNA (with a specific anti-codon) for a particular amino acid; and 'wobble' base-pairing, i.e. permitting non-standard base-pairing at the 3rd anti-codon position. Lineage: Bacteria; Bacillati; Bacillota. The record is from RNAcentral.
GCGGGUGUGGCGGAAUUGGCAGACGCGCUGGACUUAGGAUCCAGUGCUUUUGGCGUGCAGGUUCAAGUCCUGUCACCCGCACCA